Molecule: non-coding RNA, 122 nt
Filed under: Thermacetogenium phaeum
Lineage: Bacteria; Bacillati; Bacillota; Clostridia; Thermoanaerobacterales; Thermoanaerobacteraceae
Also listed under: 1 other name
Description: MoCo sequence
Rfam family: Molybdenum/Tungsten riboswitch aptamer (Moco RNA motif)
Source: RNAcentral
AAAAACGACAUUCUCCGAGUCCUCCCUCCUAAGGCCUCUUGGGCUAUGGCAGCAGGACCACUGGGUGCGCUUCGGAAACGAGCGCGCCUCCCGGCACGGAAAGGAGAGCGAAGACAGGGCCA